CCCUUAGAUGUUCUGGGCCGCACGCGUGCUACACUGAGUGGAUCAGCGGGUCAGGUUGCGCGAAAGUGUUUCCUAAUCUUGAAAUCCGCUCGUGAUGGGGAUUGACGGUUGCAAUUUUCCGUCAUGAACGAGGAAUACCUUGUAAGCGCGGGUCAUCAUCCCGCGCUGAAUACGUCCCUGCCCUUUGUACACACCGCCCGUCGCUCCUACCGAUUGAGUGGUCCGGUGAGGCUUUGGGAUCUGAGCGGAAAGAACGUUUCGCUGUUUCUGCUCGGAAAACUCAGUCGAACCUUAUCAUUUAGAGGAAGGAGAAGUCGUAACA
This 322-nucleotide ribosomal RNA is filed under the name uncultured eukaryote. Its description in RNAcentral is "partial 18S ribosomal RNA". It matches the Rfam family "Eukaryotic small subunit ribosomal RNA", at positions 1470 to 1796 of the family's 1831-position model. The record is from RNAcentral.